Molecule: ribosomal RNA, 497 nt
Filed under: uncultured bacterium
Lineage: Bacteria
Description: partial 16S ribosomal RNA
Rfam family: Bacterial small subunit ribosomal RNA
Source: RNAcentral
GAUGAACGCUGGCGGCGUGCCUAAUACAUGCAAGUCGAGCGAACGGACGAGAAGUUUGCUUCUCUGAUGUUAGCGGCGGACGGGUGAGUAACACGUGGAUAACCCACCUAUAAGACUGGGAUAACCUCGGGAAACCGGAGCUUAUACCGGAUAAUAUCUUGAACCGCAUGGUUCAAAAGUGAAAGACGGUCUUGCUGUCACUCAUAGAUGGAUCCGCGCUGCAUUAGCUAGUUGGUAAGGUAACGGCUUACAAAGGCAACGAUGCAUAGCCGACCUGAGAGGCUGAUCGGCCACCCUGGAGCUGGAACACGGUCCAGGCUCCUGCGGGAGGCAGCAGUAGGGUAUCUUCCGCAAUGGUCGAAAGCCUGACGGAGCAACGCCGCGUGAGUGAUGGAGGUCUUCGGAUCGUAAUGCUCUGUUAUUGGUGGAGAACAUAUGUGUAAGUAACAGUACACAUCUUGACGGUACCUGAUCAGGAAGCCCCGGCUAACUACGUG